Pelobates cultripes (western spadefoot toad) is the source of this 218-nucleotide non-coding RNA. Lineage: Eukaryota; Metazoa; Chordata; Amphibia; Anura; Pelobatidae. The record is from the annotation of a GenBank genome assembly.
CUAAAACAGACAGACACUACUUUCAGUUCUCAGUAUAAUUCUACACUUUGAAAAAUCAGGUUUAAGUCCCUUUUUAAACUGCUCUCCAAGAUCCGGUUACCUAGAAGACCCCUAGAGGGCUUACUCAGCACUCAUUGCAUUCAUGUUUGCAGUAUCAUAGUGGGGAGCAAUGUGAUCCACAACCAGUACACUACACUAAACCAUGUUGGGAAUUUGUG